This 273-nucleotide long non-coding RNA is filed under the name Elaeis guineensis (African oil palm). RNAcentral describes it as "long non-coding RNA (EGUI_LNC037608)". Lineage: Eukaryota; Viridiplantae; Streptophyta; Magnoliopsida; Arecales; Arecaceae. The record is from RNAcentral.
GCAUAAGCUUUACCACUUAUUUAGAAUCCACAUAUAUGAAAUUAAUUUGAAGUAAGUAGAUCCUAGAUUUAUCUGACAAUCACUGGGAUGAUUCCAACUCAACCUUUUUUAUAAAAUGGUUAACUCAAAUCUCCACUAAAUUAGACGACCUCAAGUCAACAUCCCUAUGAGUAGAAUCAACUUAGUAUCAAUAAAUAAAUAGACAUGAAAUUUUGUCCCUUAUUUAUUAAAACUCAAAUAAGUCUUCUAAAAAUUUAACAAUAGCUAGAUACU